CGCGUAGGUGGCGGGACAAGCGUGCGGUGAAAGCUCGGGGGCUCAACCCCGAGUCGGCCGUGCGAACUGUUUUGCUUGAGCACUGUAGAGGCAGGCGGAAUUCCGGGUGUAGCGGUGGAAUGCGUAGAGAUCCGGAAGAACACCGGUGGCGAAGGCGGCCUGCUGGGCAGUAGCUGACACUGAGGCGCGACAGCGUGGGAGCAAACA
Molecule: ribosomal RNA, 207 nt
Filed under: uncultured bacterium
Lineage: Bacteria
Description: partial 16S ribosomal RNA
Rfam family: Bacterial small subunit ribosomal RNA
Source: RNAcentral